RNAcentral lists this ribosomal RNA (700 nucleotides) under Streptomyces sp. RNAcentral describes it as "bacterial SSU rRNA". It matches the Rfam family "Bacterial small subunit ribosomal RNA", at positions 36 to 752 of the family's 1533-position model. Lineage: Bacteria; Bacillati; Actinomycetota; Actinomycetes; Kitasatosporales; Streptomycetaceae. The record is from RNAcentral.
GGGGCGGCAUGCUUACACAUGCAAGUCGAACGAUGAACCGCUUUCGGGCGGGGAUUAGUGGCGAACGGGUGAGUAACACGUGGGCAAUCUGCCCUGCACUCUGGGACAAGCCCUGGAAACGGGGUCUAAUACCGGAUAUGACUGUCCAUCGCAUGGUGGAUGGUGUAAAGCUCCGGCGGUGCAGGAUGAGCCCGCGGCCUAUCAGCUUGUUGGUGAGGUAGUGGCUCACCAAGGCGACGACGGGUAGCCGGCCUGAGAGGGCGACCGGCCACACUGGGACUGAGACACGGCCCAGACUCCUACGGGAGGCAGCAGUGGGGAAUAUUGCACAAUGGGCGAAAGCCUGAUGCAGCGACGCCGCGUGAGGGAUGACGGCCUUCGGGUUGUAAACCUCUUUCAGCAGGGAAGAAGCGAAAGUGACGGUACCUGCAGAAGAAGCGCCGGCUAACUACGUGCCAGCAGCCGCGGUAAUACGUAGGGCGCAAGCGUUGUCCGGAAUUAUUGGGCGUAAAGAGCUCGUAGGCGGCUUGUCACGUCGGUUGUGAAAGCCCGGGGCUUAACCCCGGGUCUGCAGUCGAUACGGGCAGGCUAGAGUUCGGUAGGGGAGAUCGGAAUUCCUGGUGUAGCGGUGAAAUGCGCAGAUAUCAGGAGGAACACCGGUGGCGAAGGCGGAUCUCUGGGCCGAUACUGACGCUGAGGA